This is a small nuclear RNA of Rattus norvegicus (Norway rat), 164 nucleotides long. Ensembl annotates it as RNA, U1 small nuclear 136. Its record names the gene Rnu1-136. The record is from Ensembl. Lineage: Eukaryota; Metazoa; Chordata; Mammalia; Rodentia; Muridae.
UUACUUACCUGGCAGGGGAGAUACCAUGAUCACGAAGGUGGUUUUCCCAGGGCGAGGCUUAUCCAUUGCACUCCGGAUGUGCUGACCCCUGCGAUUUCCCCAAAUGCGGGAAACUCGACUGCAUAAUUUGUGGUAGUGGGGAACUGCGUUUGCGCUCUCCCCUG